GCCAGCAUAGUGUAGUGGUUUGAAUGUUGGACUACAAUUCUGAAGACCAGGGCUCAAAUCCCUGUUUGGCC
RNAcentral lists this transfer RNA (71 nucleotides) under Phrynosoma platyrhinos (Desert horned lizard). RNAcentral describes it as "tRNA-OTHER". It matches the Rfam family "tRNA". From Rfam's summary of the family: Transfer RNA (tRNA) molecules are approximately 80 nucleotides in length. Their secondary structure includes four short double-helical elements and three loops (D, anti-codon, and T loops). The record is from RNAcentral. Lineage: Eukaryota; Metazoa; Chordata; Lepidosauria; Squamata; Phrynosomatidae.